CGGGGGGAGCAAGCGUUGUUCGGAUUUACUGGGCGUAAAGGGCGCGUAGGCGGCCAGCACAAGUCAGUUGUGAAAUCCCCGGGCUUAACUCGGAACGGUCAACUGAUACUGUGCGGCUAGAGUGCAGAAGGGGCAACUGGAAUUCUCGGUGUAGCGGUGAAAUGCGUAGAUAUCGAGAGGAACACCUGCGGCGAAGGCGGGUUGCUGGGCUGACACUGACGCUGAUGCGCGAAAGCCAGGGGAGCGAACGGGAUUAGAUACCCCGGUAGUCCUGACCUUAAACGAUGGAUGCUUGGUGUCUGGAGUUUUAUAGUCUCCGGGUGCCGUAGCUAACGCGUUAAGCAUCCCGCCUGGGGAGUACGGUCGCAAGACUG
RNAcentral lists this ribosomal RNA (374 nucleotides) under uncultured organism. RNAcentral describes it as "bacterial SSU rRNA". It matches the Rfam family "Bacterial small subunit ribosomal RNA", at positions 526 to 896 of the family's 1533-position model. The record is from RNAcentral.